UGGGGAAACUUCCUUUUUGUUAUCAUUUAUUUUCUCAUUUCUUUAAGUUCCUAUCCUUUCCCCUUAUCCUCUCCACCAACCCUCCAAUUUCGUUUUUCUUCAAGAAAUACAGAAACCAAAACCUCCCUUCUCUCACAUAUUCAUCCACCAAAUCGAUCAUCAAGACUUUUCUUGGUUGAUCCCCAAACAAACUCCACACGAUUGAGGUUGCUUAUAUCGUGUGCAAGUUGAAGAACUUGAGACAUUUGAUGGCCUACGGUUUGAACUUUUGAAGUCGUGUGGGACUGUUGAAUUGUUGUAUGCUAAAAGGGCUGAGGGCUCCGGUCCUUCUUGAGACUUGAUCAUGUUUGGUGUGAAGGCAUGACGUACACAUUGGGCGAAACUAAAUGUUAAAGCUUGUUAACGUGUUUUCAUGAAUUAUUGACACUUAGUUUUUUUUAUCGAACUUGAUAGUCAUGAUAUAUUUGUUGUCUUGAUUUAUUUGUUAUGUGUACAUUUGUGCUGCCAUGACUUGAGAAAAUAAGUUGAAGAACCCAAAGGCUUCAAACUUGUAGUUUUGCACCACUAAGCUUUAUGCUUAGCGAUAGUUGUUUCUAUCGUAGGAAAUGUCCGAGAAGAUGCUUGAGGUUGGCCAUUGGAGUUGAAGUUUUGGAAGCUUUAAGGAAGAUCACAUUUGCAUAUAGGCACCUAUAUUUUGUAGUAUUUUGGGACGUGUAUACGAUUUAUGGUUUGCUUGUGUAUUUGUAUUUAUGUACGUAUUUCUGAGAGUUGUAACUUAAAGAUUGUUGCUUGUUUUGUAAAUUUUGGGGUAUGUACAUUUCUAAAUUUUAUGAAGUACUAAAUUACCCUUUGGAGUUAGAACAUUUGA
Molecule: long non-coding RNA, 868 nt
Organism: Solanum dulcamara
Lineage: Eukaryota; Viridiplantae; Streptophyta; Magnoliopsida; Solanales; Solanaceae
Exons: 3
Source: RefSeq, a predicted model, not a curated record